UAAAAAGCUCGUAGUUGAAACUGUGUCCUGCGGCGUCGGUCUACCGAUUGCGGUACGACAGACGCGUCUGCGGGGCUUCUCGCCGGUGGGUCKUYGGUGGURUAKWYUGUGCUUGCGCARWCUUURWCACUUUGAUUCGCGGCUGUUUACUUUGAACAAAUUAGAGUGCUCAAAGCGGGCUAUUUUCGCCUGAAUAUUGUGCGCAUGGAAUAAUAGAAUAGGACCUCGGUUCAAUUUUGUUGGCUUUCUGAUACCAGAGGUAAUGAUUAAUAGGGACAACUGGGGGCAUUCGUAUUGCGACGUUAGAGGUGAAAUUCUUGGAUCGUCGCAAGACGGACUAAAGCGAAAGCAUUUGCCAAAGGUGUUUUCAUUAAUCAAGAACGAAAGUUAGAGGUUCGAAGGCGAUUAGAUACCGCUGUAGUUCUAACCAUAAAUGAUGCCAGCCAGCGAUCCGCCGGAGGAAUUAUUUUGAUCCGGUGGGCAGCUCCCGGGAAACCAAAGCUUUCGGGCUCCGGGG
Molecule: ribosomal RNA, 517 nt
Filed under: Cheumatopsyche sp. OPU_BS_TK2012-25
Lineage: Eukaryota; Metazoa; Arthropoda; Insecta; Trichoptera; Hydropsychidae
Description: SSU rRNA
Rfam family: Eukaryotic small subunit ribosomal RNA
Source: RNAcentral